GCUCCUAUAAUACCACGGUUGAAACGUCUGUUCAGAAACGGAGAGCAUGCCAAGUUGAUGCGAUGGCACAGUGAGGACCGUAAGAAAGACGGGAAGUUGAGAUCACCCGCUGACGGGUCGCAGUGGAGAAAAAUCGAGAGAAAGUACUGGGAUGAGUUUGCAAGUGAGCCAAGGAACGUAUGGUUUGCUUUAAGCGCGGAUGGCAUUAAUCCUUUCGGGGAGCAGAGCAGCAAUCAUAGCACCUGGCCCGUCACUCUAUGUAUGUAUAACCUUCCUCCUUGGAUGUGCAUGAAGCGG
This 297-nucleotide ribosomal RNA is filed under the name Triticum aestivum (bread wheat). RNAcentral describes it as "partial small subunit ribosomal RNA". The record is from RNAcentral. Lineage: Eukaryota; Viridiplantae; Streptophyta; Magnoliopsida; Poales; Poaceae.